UCUAAGAACUGAAACUAUAAUUUAAAAUUAAUAUAAAAUAAUAUAUGGUCCCAACAUUAUUAAUUUAUGGUGGUUUUACUGUAGUUU
RNAcentral lists this small RNA (87 nucleotides) under Arabidopsis thaliana (thale cress). Its description in RNAcentral is "ATSL216960". The record is from RNAcentral. Lineage: Eukaryota; Viridiplantae; Streptophyta; Magnoliopsida; Brassicales; Brassicaceae.